RNAcentral lists this ribosomal RNA (1420 nucleotides) under uncultured bacterium. Its description in RNAcentral is "bacterial SSU rRNA". It matches the Rfam family "Bacterial small subunit ribosomal RNA". The record is from RNAcentral.
AGAGUUUGAUCCUGGCUCAGAUUGAACGCUGGCGGCAGGCCUAACACAUGCAAGUCGAGCGGUAGCACAGAGAGCUUGCUCUCGGGUGACGAGCGGCGGACGGGUGAGUAAUGUCUGGGAAACUGCCUGAUGGAGGGGGAUAACUACUGGAAACGGUAGCUAAUACCGCAUAACGUCGCAAGACCAAAGUGGGGGACCUUCGGGCCUCAUGCCAUCAGAUGUGCCCAGAUGGGAUUAGCUAGUAGGUGGGGUAAUGGCUCACCUAGGCGACGAUCCCUAGCUGGUCUGGGAGGAUGACCAGCCACACUGGAACUGAGACACGGUCCAGACUCCUACGGGAGGCAGCAGUGGGGAAUAUUGCACAAUGGGCGCAAGCCUGAUGCAGCCAUGCCGCGUGUGUGAAGAAGGCCUUCGGGUUGUAAAGCACUUUCAGCGGGGAGGAAGGCGAUAAGGUUAAUAACCUUGUCGAUUGACGUUACCCGCAGAAGAAGCACCGGCUAACUCCGUGCCAGCAGCCGCGGUAAUACGGAGGGUGCAAGCGUUAAUCGGAAUUACUGGGCGUAAAGCGCACGCAGGCGGUCUGUCAAGUCGGAUGUGAAAUCCCCGGGCUUAACCUGGGAACUGCAUUCGAAACUGGCAGGCUAGAGUCUUGUAGAGGGGGGUAGAAUUCCAGGUGUAGCGGUGAAAUGCGUAGAGAUCUGGAGGAAUACCGGUGGCGAAGGCGGCCCCCUGGACAAAGACUGACGCUCAGGUGCGAAAGCGUGGGGAGCAAACAGGAUUAGAUACCCUGGUAGUCCACGCCGUAAACGAUGUCGAUUUGGAGGUUGUGCCCUUGAGGCGUGGCUUCCGGAGCUAACGCGUUAAAUCGACCGCCUGGGGAGUACGGCCGCAAGGUUAAAACUCAAAUGAAUUGACGGGGGCCCGCACAAGCGGUGGAGCAUGUGGUUUAAUUCGAUGCAACGCGAAGAACCUUACCUGGUCUUGACAUCCACAGAACUUUCCAGAGAUGGAUUGGUGCCUUCGGGAACUGUGAGACAGGUGCUGCAUGGCUGUCGUCAGCUCGUGUUGUGAAAUGUUGGGUUAAGUCCCGCAACGAGCGCAACCCUUAUCCUUUGUUGCCAGCGGUCCGGCCGGGAACUCAAAGGAGACUGCCAGUGAUAAACUGGAGGAAGGUGGGGAUGACGUCAAGUCAUCAUGGCCCUUACGACCAGGGCUACACACGUGCUACAAUGGCAUAUACAAAGAGAAGCGACCUCGCGAGAGCAAGCGGACCUCAUAAAGUAUGUCGUAGUCCGGAUUGGAGUCUGCAACUCGACUCCAUGAAGUCGGAAUCGCUAGUAAUCGUAGAUCAGAAUGCUACGGUGAAUACGUUCCCGGGCCUUGUACACACCGCCCGUCACACCAUGGGAGUGGGUUGCAA